GUGAGGAAUAUUGGUCAAUGGACGAGAGUCUGAACCAGCCAAGUCGCGUGAAGGAAGACGGUUCUAUGAAUUGUAAACUUCUUUUGUGCAGGAAUAAAGUGGGUUACGUGUAACCUUUUGUAUGUACUGUACGAAUAAGGAUCGGCUAACUCCGUGCCAGCAGCCGCGGUAAUACGGAGGAUCCGCGCGUUAUCCGGAUUUUUUGGGUUUAAUGGGUGCGUAGGUGGAUUGAUCAGUCAGCGGUGAAGGUUUGGAGCGUAACUGUAAAAUUGCCGUUGAGACUGUCGGUCUUGAGUGCAAAUGAGGUAGGCGGAAUGUGUUGUGUAGCGGUGAAAUGCUUAGAUAUAACACAGAACUCCGAUUGCGAAGGCAGCUUACUGGGAUGCAACUGACACUGAUGCACGCAAGCGUGGGUAUCAAACAGGAUUAGGAACCCGUGUCGUCC
Molecule: ribosomal RNA, 445 nt
Filed under: uncultured bacterium
Lineage: Bacteria
Description: partial 16S ribosomal RNA
Rfam family: Bacterial small subunit ribosomal RNA
Source: RNAcentral